ACGCUCGACACCUACGGGGGCAGCAGUGGGGAAUAUUGCACAAUGGGGGAAACCCUGAUGCAGCAACGCCGCGUGAAGGAAGACGGUUUUCGGAUUGUAAACUUCUGUUCUUAGUGAAGAUAGUGACGGUAGCUAAGGAGCAAGCCACGGCUAACUACGUGCAAGCAGCCGCGGUAAUCUGAGGCGGGCUGGCAAGGC
RNAcentral lists this ribosomal RNA (198 nucleotides) under uncultured bacterium. RNAcentral describes it as "partial 16S ribosomal RNA". It matches the Rfam family "Bacterial small subunit ribosomal RNA", at positions 328 to 539 of the family's 1533-position model. The record is from RNAcentral.